RNAcentral lists this ribosomal RNA (451 nucleotides) under uncultured bacterium. RNAcentral describes it as "partial 16S ribosomal RNA". It matches the Rfam family "Bacterial small subunit ribosomal RNA", at positions 29 to 523 of the family's 1533-position model. The record is from RNAcentral.
AGCGAACGCUGGCGGCAGGCUUAACACAUGCAAGUCGAGCGGCCGUAGCAAUACGGCAGCGGCAGACGGGAGAGUAACACGUGGGAACGUACCCUUCAGUACGGAACAACCAAGGGAAACUUUGGCUAAUACCGUAUACGUCCGUAAGGAGAAAGAUUUAUCGCUGAAGGAUCGGCCCGCGUCUGAUUAGCUAGUUGGUGAGGUAACGGCUCACCAAGGCGACGAUCAGUAGCUGGUCUGAGAGGAUGAUCAGCCUCACUGGGACUGAGACACGGCCCAGACUCCUACGGGAGGCAGCAGUGGGGAGUACUGGACAAUGGGCGCAAGCCUGAUCCAGCCAUGCCGCGUGGAUGAUGAAGGCCCUAGGGUUGUAAAGUCCUUUUAACGGGGAAGAUAAUGACGGUACCCGUAGAAUAAGCCCCGGCUAACUUCGUGCCAGCAGCCGCCGUAA